Phascolarctos cinereus (koala) is the source of this 897-nucleotide RNA transcript. It is a transcript of the gene named antioxidant 1 copper chaperone, with no coding region annotated. Lineage: Eukaryota; Metazoa; Chordata; Mammalia; Diprotodontia; Phascolarctidae. The record is from RefSeq and is a predicted model, not a curated record.
GGCCGCGGCCCAGCCCCGGGCGGGGGCGGGGGCCGGGGCCGGGCUUGGGGCCCCGCGUAGCCGCGCGUCCGGAAGCGCCCGGGACUCCGCAGUCCCCGCCUCGGGAGCCUCCGGUCUCCAGUCACCAGUCUGCAGCCUCCCGCAGCCGUCAUGCCGAAACAUGAGUUCUCUGUGGACAUGACCUGUGAGGGCUGUUCUAAUGCAGUCACCCGAGUCCUCAACAAGCUGGGUGACCAUGGAGAGUCCCAGGGGCGCUGCUGGCAGGGAGAGAGAAGAAGCAAAGCGCAGAGGUUAUCUGCUUUCAGGAUCUCAGAGUUUGGGAACUGGGUGCCUGCAUCAUGUGGAGCACUUUGGAGAGGGCAGCACCAAGUGGGGGUCCAGUUUGACAUCGACCUGCCCAACAAGAAAGUGCGCAUCGAUUCAGAGCAUAGUGUGGAAACGCUGCUGGAGACACUGAAGAAAACGGGGAAGGCCACCACCUACCUUGGGACCAAGUAGCAGGAAGCUCCACCCUCUGGCCAGCAGCAGGAUGCAGAGGGGACAGAGAAGGAAAACUGAGGCACGGAAAAGAUUAAGUGACUUCACACGGCUAGCGUCUGUGAUGGGAACUCAAGUCUUUCUGAUUCCAGAUCCUGUACUUUAUCCACUGGGCCACCACGUAGCUGCCUCAUAAGCUUGUAAAAAGUAUAAGGAGCCCGAAUGACAGGCUCCCCAGGAUCCGUCCGCUCCCAUUCUGGCCAGAAAUGGGAAGGAGGGGAGACCUGGGAGUGGAAAGGAAAGAGAGGAAAGAGCGCAUCAGUGACUGGGAGCCCGCAGUGUUCCGGGAGAGCCCUUCGGCUCACUGUCUCUCUUUCUUUGCCACCCUUUAAUAAAAUGGAGCUGGUUUUUGCUGGAAAA